GAUGAACGCUGGCGGCGUGCCUAACACAUGCAAGUCGAGCGAAGCGAUUUAGCGGAAGUUUUCGGAUGGAAGUUAAAUUGACUGAGCGGGCGACGGUGAAGUACGCUGGUAACGUGCCUCAUACAGGGGAUAACAGUUAGAAAUGACUGCUAAUACCGCAUAAGCGCACAGCAUCGCAUGAUGCAGUGUGAAAAACUCCGGUGGUAUGAGAUGGACCCGCGUCUGAUUAGGUAGUUGGUGGGGUAACGGCCUACCAAGCCGACGAUCAGUAGCCGACCUGAGAGGGUGACCGGCCACAUUGGGACUGAGACACGGCCCAA
This 320-nucleotide ribosomal RNA is filed under the name uncultured bacterium. Its description in RNAcentral is "bacterial SSU rRNA". It matches the Rfam family "Bacterial small subunit ribosomal RNA", at positions 28 to 334 of the family's 1533-position model. The record is from RNAcentral.